GACGAACGCUGGCGGCGUGCUUAACACAUGCAAGUCGAACGGAAAGGCCCUGCUUUUGUGGGGUGCUCGAGUGGCGAACGGGUGAGUAACACGUGAGUAACCUGCCCUUGACUUUGGGAUAACUUCAGGAAACAGGGGCUAAUACCGGAUAGGAGCUCCUGCUGCAUGGUGGGGGUUGGAAAGUUUCGGCGGAUGGGGAUGGACUCGCGGCUUAUCAGCUUGUUGGUGGGGUAGUGGCUUACCAAGGCUUUGACGGGUAGCCGGCCUGGGAGGGUGACCGGCCACCUUGGGACUGAGAUACGGCCCAGACUCCUACGGGAGGCAGCAGUGGGGAAUAUUGCACAAUGGGCGGAAGCCUGAUGCAGCAACGCCGCGUGCGGGAUGACGGCCUUCGGGUUGUAAACCGCUUUCGCCUGUGACGAAGCGUGAGUGACGGUAAUGGGUAAAGAAGCACCGGCUAACUACGUG
RNAcentral lists this ribosomal RNA (468 nucleotides) under uncultured bacterium. Its description in RNAcentral is "partial 16S ribosomal RNA". It matches the Rfam family "Bacterial small subunit ribosomal RNA", at positions 28 to 507 of the family's 1533-position model. The record is from RNAcentral.